UCUUUGUGGAGCUGUUGGAGUCAGCGGA
RNAcentral lists this small RNA (28 nucleotides) under Bombyx mori (domestic silkworm). RNAcentral's name for it is "piRNA piR-bmo-1354948". The record is from RNAcentral. Lineage: Eukaryota; Metazoa; Arthropoda; Insecta; Lepidoptera; Bombycidae.